CCCUUAGAUGUUCUGGGCUGCACGCGCGCUACACUGAUGCAUGCAACGAGUUUUCGACCUUGCCUGAAAAGGUUGGGUAAUCUGUUUAACAUGUGUCGUGAUGGGGAUAGACCAUUGCAAUUAUUGAUCUUCAACGAGGAAUUCCUAGUAAACGCAAGUCAUCAACUUGCAUUGAUUACGUCCCUGCCCUUUGUACACACCGCCCGUCGCACCUACCGAUUGAAUGGUCCGGUGAAGCCUCCGGAUUGGCGCGCACCUCGGUGCCGCCGAGAAGUUGGCUAAACCUUACCAUUUAGAGGAAGGUGAAGUCGUAACA
RNAcentral lists this ribosomal RNA (316 nucleotides) under uncultured eukaryote. Its description in RNAcentral is "partial 18S ribosomal RNA". It matches the Rfam family "Eukaryotic small subunit ribosomal RNA", at positions 1470 to 1796 of the family's 1831-position model. The record is from RNAcentral.